AGGAUAAACGCUGGCGGCGUGCAUGAGACAUGCAAGUCGAACGGACACUUGGGGCUUGCUCCAAGUGUUAGUGGCGGACGGCUGAGUAACGCGUAGGUGACCUGCCCCGAAGUGGGGAAUAACUGCCCGAAAGGGUGGCUAAUACCGCAUGUGGUGGUGUGUUCAUUCACACCAGUAAAGCCGCAAGGCGCUUCGGGAGGGGCCUGCGUCCGAUUAGCUCGUUGGUGGGGUAACGGCUCACCAAGGCGACGAUCGGUAGGUGGUCUGAGAGGACGAUCACCCAGACUGGGACUGAGACACGGCCCAGACUCCUACGGGAGGCAGCAGUCGGGAAUUUUGCGCAAUGGACGAAAGUCUGACGCAGCAACGCCGCGUGAGGGAUGAAGGCCUUCGGGUUGUAAACCUCUUUUAUCUAGGGAAGAUAAUGACGGUACCUGAUGAAUAAGUCACGGCUAACUACGUGCCAGCAGCCGC
This 474-nucleotide ribosomal RNA is filed under the name uncultured bacterium. Its description in RNAcentral is "SSU rRNA". It matches the Rfam family "Bacterial small subunit ribosomal RNA", at positions 26 to 518 of the family's 1533-position model. The record is from RNAcentral.